AAUGUAAUGACUAACGUAAUGUUCACAUUUUACAAAAAGCGUUCUCUUUUCUUUCUGACAGGAGCAUUUCUACGAUCUGGAAAAAGGGAACAGAGGUCAUCUCCUGGCGCCUUAAAACUUUGUCGAGGAAGAACCCAAAACAUAUUAGCUUGGAAAUGACUGAAAGUGGAGGACCAAGUCGCCGAAGAAGGAUUGAAGAUGUCCAACAACUUGAAGGCAAUUUCUUUCCUUGUCCAUACAGCUGAUGAAGCUGAAGUUAUGCAAAAGAUAAUGGAAACUUUCAAGCAUAGACAAGAACUGGUACAUAAUCUUUAAAGGUCAGCUGACGUCCUUGAUGUCUUUCCAAGAUAUUUGGAUGUAAAAGAAUUGAUAAAUCAGGACUUUGCUCUGCUAUUCAAUGCUGAAACAUCCAACAAGCUUCUUGAGAGGUGGGAGACGGCAGUCAAGCAAAAGAUCAUCAAUGAAGCCCAGUCUCUUACUUCAACAGCAGAAAUUUGGUGUCUUCUCAAUGCAGCAGGUGGACAAGGAUCUGAAAAUGAUUGGGACAGUGACAUGUCAUCUGACCUGCUGCUGUUGCAUCUCCUGCCUCCUGCUCCAGGGAGGAAGAAGACUAAGAUCAGUCCAACAGAGGCUGUUGACAGACUUGUGCAUUUCCAUAAAGUAAAACUAACAAUACAGUUGCAAAGUCAUUGUGAAUAUUGAAAUGCAGUGGUUUUUUAAUCAUGGUCCUUGGGAUUCACCCCUUUGCACAUUUUAUUUCUCUGACCUGACUUAAGGGAUAGUUCACCCAAAAAUGAAAAUUAUGUCAUUUACUCACC
This is a long non-coding RNA of Cyprinus carpio (common carp), 818 nucleotides long. RefSeq lists it as uncharacterized. NCBI's taxonomy places the organism in Eukaryota, Metazoa, Chordata, Actinopteri, Cypriniformes, Cyprinidae. The record is from RefSeq and is a predicted model, not a curated record. The transcript is spliced from 3 exons.